GAUCCUGGCUCAGGACGAACGCUGGCGGCGUGCUUCAUACAUGCAAGUCGAACGAGAAUCUGACUUCGGUCAGAGGAAAGUGGCGGACGGGUGAGUAACACGUAGGAAAUCUGCCCUUUGGAGGGGGACAACAGUUGGAAACGACUGCUAAUACCCCAUAUGAGCUAAGUUGAAAUACUUAUCUUGAAAACUCCGGUGCCAAAGGAUGAGCCUGCGCCUGAUUAGCUUGUUGGUGGUGUAAUGGACUACCAAGGCGACGAUCAGUAGCUGGUUUGAGAGGAUGAUCAGCCACAAUGGGACUGAGACACGGCCCAUACUCCUACGGGAGGCAGCAGUAGGGAAUUUUGCGCAAUGGGGGAAACCCUGACGCAGCAACGCCGCGUGAACGAUGAAGCCCUUCGGGGUGUAAAGUUCUGUCAGUGGGGACGAAUUUUGACGGUACCCACAAAGGAAGCACCGGCUAACUCCGUGCCAGCAGCCGCGGUAAUACGGAGGGUGCAAGCGUUGUCCGGAAUCAUUGGGCGUAAAGAGUUCGUAGGCGGCAUAUCAAGUCUGGUGUUAAAGGCAGAAGCUCAACUUCUGUAAGGCACUGGAUACUGGUAAGCUAGAAUGUGGUAGAGGUAAAGGGAAUUCCUGGUGUAGCGGUGAAAUGCGUAGAUAUCAGGAGGAACACCGGUGGCGUAAGCGCUUUACUGGGCCAUAAUUGACGCUGAGGAACGAAAGCCGGGGGAGCAAAUGGGAUUAGAUACCCCAGUAG
Molecule: ribosomal RNA, 757 nt
Filed under: cyanobacterium enrichment culture clone 4_4_4.1.2_F07-T7
Lineage: Bacteria; Bacillati; Cyanobacteriota
Description: bacterial SSU rRNA
Rfam family: Bacterial small subunit ribosomal RNA
Source: RNAcentral